GCCUAAAAAAAGUAGUUGCAUGAUUUAUAAAUCUAAAUAUUAACUUAAUAACAAGACAAUGUUUUGAAAUAAGGAUACCCAAAACAUAACAUAAAAUCACUCUCCCUAAUCCCUACCCAUGAUCAACAAUUAUUAGGGUGAGAGUGAGGGUUAGAUCAAGUGGUUAAACCUUCCCUUUUGAUCCCAUGUGAUCUUGAAAUUGAUUUUCAAAAAAAAAAAAAAAAAAAAAACAAUUAUUGGGUCAUUCAUUAGCUACUCCGUAUACUCUUAACAAAAACGAUCAAUCCGAGAAAAAAAAAAAAAAAAAAAAAAAAAAAAAAAACGAUCAAAUUUCGUCAACAUUACUCUACCCCUCACGAAAAAUAAAAGUCGUCGAGGAUACCUUUCAUUUCUUCAAAUUUUAAUUUUUUAUAGUCACUGGAUGAUGUUUGAACAGACUGUACUGAUGAUUUCCAGUAAAACACUCCAUUCUUCCCUUCAAAGCUAAUUCAACUGUUCUUGAUCACGACAUUCAAUCUUCACACCCACCAAAAUUCACACAAGAACCCUAAAACCCCAAAUUCGUGUGCAUGAGAUACCGAGAAAGAGGAGCUUCUGAAGCAUCAUUAAUGGCGAAUGUAGGUGGUGCUGGUAUGAGCUCCAUGAUCGUCAAUGGCGGCGAGUUAUGGAAAGCUCAUGGUGCCUUGGUUUUGGUUCAGCUCUGUAAUGGCGGAUACCAUGUUAUUACUAAACUUGUUCUUAAUGAAGGUGUUAAUCAGAUCGUUUUCUGCGUUUUUCGCGACCUUAUUGCUCUCUCAAUCCUUGCUCCUCUUGCUUAUGUUCGUGAAAAGCGAGUUCGACCACCAAUCACUAAAAAUCUUCUUGUUGGAUUUUUCUUCCUUGGGCUUACCGGGAUCUUUGGAAACCAACUUCUGUUUCUUAUUGGUCUGAAGUAUACAAAUCCAACAUAUGCUGCAGCUAUACAACCUUCAAUUCCAGUAUUUACUUUCCUCUUGGCCACAAUAAUGGGCACAGAAACUGUGAAUUUAUAUAGAGCUGAAGGGAAAAUGAAGGUUGCAGGCACAUUUUUGUGUGUUUCUGGUGCUGUUUUGAUGGUUGUAUAUAAAGGGCCGUCUAUUCUUGGACAAAAAGAAGAGAUGGAACUGCAUGGUGAAAUCAGUGCCAAAGGACAGCCAGAACCAGUUGGAUGGCUUGUUGCUAGGACCAUGGAAUUUGGGUUUGACACAUUUCACCUUGGUGUACUAUGUCUUAUUGGGAACUGUGUGUGCAUGGCAACUUAUCUUGCAAUUCAGGCUCCAGUUCUGAAGAAAUAUCCAGCAAGCCUCUCGGUGACAGCGUAUUCAUAUUUUUUUGGUGCUCUUCUUAUCGUUACUUCUUCGUUUUUUAUGGCCAAUGACCCGACAAGCUGGAGUAUGAACCAUGAUGAACUGUUUGCCGUUUUCUAUGCUGGAAUCAUUGCAUCUGCCCUCAACUAUGGACUUAUCACAUGGUCCAAUAAAAUAUUGGGGCCUGCAUUGGUCGCUCUUUACAAUCCACUUCAACCUGCAGCAUCUACCUUUUUGUCACUUAUCUUUCUAGGAAGCACCCUAUACCUAGGAAGUGUGCUGGGAGGCUCUUUAAUUAUUGCUGGCUUAUACUUGGUCACCUGGGCAUCCUACAAAGAAAAGCAAGCUGCUGCAGGUAUACCUUCUGAACCUCUAAUUCAAAAAGAUUCUUCACUCAGCAAGAUGCACCAGCAAGGACUCAUUUUUGCUAGAUCAUCAUCUUCAUUAUACAAGGUUUUGGAUUAGGUAAUAUGCACAACAUGGAGCUUAUCCUUAACUGUCUUAUUUCCAAUUUCUGUGGCCAUUGCAAUUAAGGUGAAGAGCUAUACAAAUGUACAGCAAACAUAAUGGUUCCAAAAGGAACUAUCACCAGGAACAGUGGUUGAUAUUGUGUAUAUCAAGAUCCAGGGCUCACGACUUCUGCAGAUAGCGUUAUGGAAAAUGUGUAUUUCAAAGAGACAGCACGAUGGUGGUUGUAUAUACUGCUAGCUAUAUUGGCCAAAUCUAUCUCAGGAUUUGGCUUUUUCCACGUGGAAUUUAGAGCAAGCUUCCCAUUGAAACCGAGAUUUUCAAUUUGCAUAAUUAAGUUCAAGAUCAUUUGUUGUAGCCAAGUUAUAUGAUUCUCUUUGUAAGGACAAAAACAAAGGUCUUUUCUGAGAGGUUUUAUCUAUGCUAUGCAUACCUGUUCUAUAUCCAUCA
This is an RNA transcript of Chenopodium quinoa (quinoa), 2243 nucleotides long. It is a transcript of the gene named WAT1-related protein At3g45870-like, with no coding region annotated. NCBI's taxonomy places the organism in Eukaryota, Viridiplantae, Streptophyta, Magnoliopsida, Caryophyllales, Amaranthaceae. The transcript has 8 exons. The record is from RefSeq and is a predicted model, not a curated record.